Molecule: non-coding RNA, 21 nt
Filed under: Rattus norvegicus (Norway rat)
Lineage: Eukaryota; Metazoa; Chordata; Mammalia; Rodentia; Muridae
Source: RNAcentral
UACAAGUGUGCACAACUUUCC